GCGCCCGUAGCUCAAUUGGAUAGAGCGCUUGACUACGGAUCAAGAGGUUGCAGGUUCAACUCCUGCCGGGCGCA
This 74-nucleotide transfer RNA is filed under the name Omnitrophica WOR_2 bacterium GWA2_47_8. Its description in RNAcentral is "tRNA-Arg". It matches the Rfam family "tRNA". From Rfam's summary of the family: Transfer RNA (tRNA) molecules are approximately 80 nucleotides in length. Their secondary structure includes four short double-helical elements and three loops (D, anti-codon, and T loops). Further hydrogen bonds mediate the characteristic L-shaped molecular structure. tRNAs have two regions of fundamental functional importance: the anti-codon, which is responsible for specific mRNA codon recognition, and the 3' end, to which the tRNAs corresponding amino acid is attached (by aminoacyl-tRNA synthetases). tRNAs cope with the degeneracy of the genetic code in two manners: having more than one tRNA (with a specific anti-codon) for a particular amino acid; and 'wobble' base-pairing, i.e. permitting non-standard base-pairing at the 3rd anti-codon position. RNAcentral also lists the same sequence under 1 other name. Lineage: Bacteria; Pseudomonadati; Candidatus Omnitrophota. The record is from RNAcentral.